GGGGACGUAGCUCAGUUGGGAGAGCAUCUGGUUUGCAACCAGAGGGUCGUCGGUUCGAGUCCGAUCGUCUCCACCA
This 76-nucleotide transfer RNA is filed under the name Acidimicrobiia bacterium. RNAcentral describes it as "tRNA-Ala". It matches the Rfam family "tRNA". Rfam says of the family: Transfer RNA (tRNA) molecules are approximately 80 nucleotides in length. Their secondary structure includes four short double-helical elements and three loops (D, anti-codon, and T loops). Lineage: Bacteria; Bacillati; Actinomycetota; Acidimicrobiia. The record is from RNAcentral.